AAUGAAGGAACACCUCUUGUUUGGUUGGAGUUUUCAAAGCAGAGAGAUGGAAAAGUAGCAUUUCUAUAGGAAUAAGAUUUUCAUGUUUCAUGAGAAAGAAAAACUUAUGAGAGACAUGGAAAAGCUAUUUUUCCAUCGGUUGGAAAUUAGAAUUUUUUUUUUUCCAAAACUAUCCUUAAGCCAUCAAAAUUUAUGGAUAAGGUCUUUCUCUUAAGGGUAUAAUAGAUAUUUCACACAACUUUUUUAGGAAAAUAGAUGUUCAAUCAAACAUAAGCCACUCCGGAAUGUACAACUUUCCUAGGCAUUAUAUUCCUAGAAUCAAUUUCCUAGAAAAAAUAUUCUGAUAAGAGAAAAUUCUUUCCGUGAACCACAUGAGUCUUGCGCGUUAUUGUAUGAGCCAUGGUAGGGAAGGAGAUACUUGUUCAGCUUGGUAUUCUAGCUAUAAUUUCUGUCUUUGCAAAAUCAAGCUAAAAUUUUCAUAUUUUGGGACUUCGGGUAAUCAAAAAAUUUGCAUUUAGUAAUCUAACCUUUUUUGAGAACUAAGUAAUUACGAAAGGUUUAUAAUUGCUCAGUUCUGCAUUGAGAUGGGGAUUUUGUUAGUCAGCCGCUGGAAAAAGUCUAAUAAAGUGUCGAAAACAAAAUAAAAACUAUAUUUGAUAUAUGAACUCUGUGCUUUCUUCCUUUGAUUUUUGCGAACUUUCCCACUACUCUCUGUUUUCAUUUGAUCAGACUGCUGAUGGCACAGUUUGGGUCCUUUUAGACGGUUGCUGGUCAGCAAAUGAACUUCUAAGAGAUGAUUGGCUCUGAAAUUAUUAUCCAUGGUCAACCCUUAUGGGCCAAUCAAAGUACAAGGUAAAUGGACCAGUGGUGUUUAAUCUGUUUUGUCUCUCCAAGUUUUAUUCGCUGUAUGGGUUGGCCACUGUACAGGUUGGUUUUAUGACUUGGGCUAACCUCGUAUCAGUUCUGCAUGAAUUGGUGCUCAUCUAAUGAUCAUUUGGUGGAUGGAAAGGUAUAAUUAUUGUUCAUGUAGCUUGAUUUCAUUUGGACAGGAAUCAAGCUUAAGACCAGAGAAAUCAGUGAUGUAGUGAAUUAUUGAAUGUACAAAAUUGUAUCAUCUCUUAACAUGUGAAUAUCCAUGCAAGACUUUCAGGCAGUCA
Non-coding RNA from Phoenix dactylifera (date palm), 1157 nucleotides. NCBI's taxonomy places the organism in Eukaryota, Viridiplantae, Streptophyta, Magnoliopsida, Arecales, Arecaceae. The record is from RefSeq and is a predicted model, not a curated record.